Pelodiscus sinensis (Chinese soft-shelled turtle) is the source of this 997-nucleotide non-coding RNA. The record is from RefSeq and is a predicted model, not a curated record. NCBI's taxonomy places the organism in Eukaryota, Metazoa, Chordata, Testudines, Trionychidae.
CUGCAGUUAGACAUGCUAGGUGACUUGUGUUUGUGGGACUUGGGCUAAGGUUCUAUUUAAUUGUGAUGUAGAUGUUCAGAUCAUGCUACAGCUUGAGCUCUGGGACCCUUCCACUUUGUAAGUCCCAGCUCAAGCCCAAAUAUCUACACUGGAAUUUACAACCCAUCGGCCUACGUGUUAAUAGGUUUGAAUACUUCAUCUUCAAAUAUCAGGAAGUCAGCAAAGAUGUCAAACAGCAUCAGAGAUUUAUCCAAAGAAGUCCUGAGAUAGCCACUGAAUAGCUGAAACAGUUGAAUAACUGUACAAUAUUAGUACUGAUGACAAGAGACAGCAGCGGCACUGAAAAUAAAUUCUGGAAUUUUUCUGCUUGUCUACCAAGGCUGUUUUGUGUUUUGUUCUAUGACAGUUUAACUGAAAGUGCUAUGGUGUCGGCUGUAGCAACGUCGUCACUUAGUGUACCUCUUAGAGGGAAGUGAGAUAUUCAAAAAUUUACUAACAGUGGCAUGAUCAACAUGACACUGUAAUGAAACUUCAGAGACUGAUAUUGAUAUAAUAUAUCAGACCAGAAACAAUCAUUAGUGCUGAAGCUCUUACUGGUGUAUAUAAUUUUUUCUAAACCUUCAAACAUUUCAAAUAGAAUAUAGCAAGGUGCUUUGUUCCUCUAAGGACUGCUAGUAUAACAAGGCAAUCUUUUGAUUUAAGCCUUUACAAGUCUGGCUAGAAUGGCUUGCAGAAGAAAGCACAUUGGUUAAAUAAUUCAAAGUACUAUAGUAGGAAAUAUGUGAUUCCCAUUCUCAUAAUGCUAUUUCAAAUGAACCCAGAUAGAGCAGAGAGUGGAUAGAAGUGCUGGAUCAUUUAAGAUCUAAUCUUGUGAAGUUCUGAGUGGAGGUGCUGAGCACCUCCAGAUCUUCUCUCAGGAAUGAGCGUUUACUUUCCAAAUACAGAGUUUUAUAGCAUUGUUUUGUUCAGGAGUGUCAUAUUGUAUUUUUUGGCUAAU